RNAcentral lists this ribosomal RNA (425 nucleotides) under uncultured bacterium. Its description in RNAcentral is "partial 16S ribosomal RNA". It matches the Rfam family "Bacterial small subunit ribosomal RNA", at positions 354 to 796 of the family's 1533-position model. The record is from RNAcentral.
GUGGGGAAUCUUGCGCAAUGGGCGAAAGCCUGACGCAGCCAUGCCGCGUGAAUGAUGAAGGUCUUAGGAUUGUAAAAUUCUUUCACCGGGGACGAUAAUGACGGUACCCGGAGAAGAAGCCCCGGCUAACUUCGUGCCAGCAGCCGCGGUAAUACGAAGGGGGCUAGCGUUGCUCGGAAUUACUGGGCGUAAAGGGCGCGUAGGCGGAUCGUUAAGUCAGGGGUGAAAUCCCAGAGCUCAACUCUGGAACUGCCCUUGAUACUGGCAAUCUUGAGUGUGAGAGAGGUAUGUGGAACUCCGAGUGUAGAGGUGAAAUUCGUAGAUAUUCGGAAGAACACCAGUGGCGAAGGCGACAUACUGGCUCAUUACUGACGCUGAGGCGCGAAAGCGUGGGGAGCAAACAGGAUUAGAAACCCCAGUAGUCC